RNAcentral lists this long non-coding RNA (331 nucleotides) under Ailuropoda melanoleuca (giant panda). RNAcentral's name for it is "lncRNA (ENSAMEG00000023667.1)". Lineage: Eukaryota; Metazoa; Chordata; Mammalia; Carnivora; Ursidae. The record is from RNAcentral.
UCCACACGACCACAGCAAGCCAGGUACUUGACAGAAGCGCUACUGUUCUUGGGACUAGAGCCAGCAAGGACAUUUUUCUAAGAGGCUCAUCAAGAAGGCCACGUCCUCCAACGAACACCGAAAAGGAAAAUCUAAACUGCACCACCGAGGCUAAGUCAUUUUUACAUACUAAGGUGGGAGAGAAAUGAAACUGCUCUAAAAAUAUUUUAAGGGGUUAGGUCGUCUCUUGAAACUGGUGUCUGCGCUCCACCGACCUACCCAUCUCCCCCAAGGCAAACUGAUCCCAAGGUAGACCGGCUGGAAUUGGCCUCCUGAGCCCUGGAAGUACCUG